UCUAUUUAGAUUCUUGCUACUCAGUUUGGUCCACUGAUUGGAAACAUCAGUAUCACCUGGGAGCUUGUUAGAACUGCAGUUUCAGACCCAGUCCUGGAUGCCCUGAAUCCAAAUCUGCCUUUAACCAGAGCUCAUGUGAAUGGUGAGCACACUUGCAUCUGUGAAGCAGAGCUUUAGAGCACACAGGAGGCCAUGCCCAGAAAGGAGCAUUUAAUGUGACUGAUCAUUUGCAGCUGAGUCAGGAUGCAAACCCUGGUCUGACUGAGAAUUCUACGUUCUUUCCAGUGAACCAGUGAAAACCUACAUUGUCAUGUCCACAGGGACCAUCUGGCAUCUGGCCCGGUCGUGGAAGGCAAGGCCUUACAGACAAGGCACCACCUGGGCAAGUAGGGCUCGGAGCUCUCGUCUCUCUCCCGACUCCUCGACCUGGACCUGGCCUCCCUCAGCUCCUAGGAAGUGAAUGGAAUUCCAGGGCUACCCCUGCGCGAAGGAGAACCUCGGGGACUGGGAUGGCCUUGACCCUGCUGAGCCCUGCUCCAUCCAGCCUGGACCAGUGGGUCCUCAUGGUCAUGAGUGCAACUCCCCCCAGCCCUCUGCAGCACACAAGGUGAGCAUCCUUCUGAAUCCUUCGGAGCCCCGAGGCCCAGGAAUCCCCUCUGGUCUCCAUGGAGCUCGACUGGCCUGCGGCAGCUGCUCGGACCACCCUUCUUCCCAUAUUCUCAAAUAACUUUUAGAAAAUGAAAAUGUCCUUUUUUUUUUUUUUCCUGAUUAAACACACCAUUAUGAACAACUUCAAAACAGAGAACAUGAAAGUGUUCCCUGAAACCCCCCCGAGUCUCCCUGUCAUUGCGUCAGUGUGUAUCCUUCUGGACUUGUUGCCACCUUGCAUGGACCUGUGCCCGGCUGGCCCACCUGGGAUUCCCAGGAGACUCCUAGGAACCAGCGUGAGUGAAGCCUUGGUCACGGCCGCUCACCCAGGAGCACCGGGGUUGCCCUGGGACUUGCCAUCUGCCUGCUCUUCACCUGCAGGACACAGGACUCACCAUGGCUCAUUUCAAUUUCUCUGAAGAAUGACAGCCCAGCAGCUUAAGGGACCCAUGGGACCUACAAAGUGAAUUGUGUCGGUCAGCCUGUUUUUUUUUUUUUUUUUUGGCUGCACCAGUGGCAGG
Non-coding RNA from Sus scrofa (pig), 1169 nucleotides. Lineage: Eukaryota; Metazoa; Chordata; Mammalia; Artiodactyla; Suidae. The record is from RefSeq and is a predicted model, not a curated record.